Long non-coding RNA from Loxodonta africana (African savanna elephant), 812 nucleotides. RefSeq lists it as uncharacterized. The record is from RefSeq and is a predicted model, not a curated record. NCBI's taxonomy places the organism in Eukaryota, Metazoa, Chordata, Mammalia, Proboscidea, Elephantidae. The transcript is spliced from 4 exons.
AAAGGAUCUUCCCCUAGAGCCUUCGGGGGGGAUAUGGGCCAUUGACACCCUGAAUCUGAACCACUUGACCCCAGAACUGUGACACAAUAAAUUUCUGUUUUUGCAAGCCAACCAAUUUAUGGUAUUAUGUUACAGCCUCCUGGGAAACUAAUACACCCAUGGAGCCACAUGGCCCAGUGAUGGGCUGCAUAACUUAGAGACCUGGUGGGGGUGGAUCCAGCUGAUGGGGCUGAAGAAGGACAUGCUCCCAGAAUCCAGCUGAUGCAGCAGAAGGAGGACAUGCUCCCUCUGGGAGGGGGAGUGUGGUUUUUCCAGGCUGGAGGGGGCCAGGGUAAAGGGGAAUACUACUAAAGAAAACCACACGGCGCCUGUGCCCAGACCAUCAACCAGCAGAAGCCGAACGCAGAGCCGAGACUGGGGAUCUCUCCCAGCCCCAACAUGUUGCCCACACCUGGAACAUGAACAUGGUUGGGGCAGACAUCUUGGUCCCAAGGUAGAAGCUAUACACUGGGGAUGGGAAAGCAAGAAGUCGGAAGGAAGGGGGACCCUGAUGACCACGGAGGCAUCCUAGCAGCCUGCAUUAGAAGUUCUCUUGGCUUGUUCUUUCCCAUUACUACACGGAUUUUCUUUCUGGCAACAUCUGCUGAAUCUGAACUGCUGACCAGCACAGUGGCAGGAAAAGACUGGCUACAAUCUUUGCCUGCACAGAUUCCUCUUGCUGCUUUCAGAGAGAAGGUCUGUCCUUAAGGAGGAUGCUCUUGGGAAAGAGGAAUGAAUAUUUUCACAGUUGCCUUAACUGGGAUUCAGCAUUU